This 498-nucleotide ribosomal RNA is filed under the name uncultured bacterium. RNAcentral describes it as "partial 16S ribosomal RNA". It matches the Rfam family "Bacterial small subunit ribosomal RNA", at positions 30 to 523 of the family's 1533-position model. The record is from RNAcentral.
AUUGAACGCUGGCGGCAUGCCUUACACAUGCAAGUCGAACGGUAACAGGUCUUCGGAUGCUGACGAGUGGCGAACGGGUGAGUAAUGCAUCGGAACGUGCCCAGUAGUGGGGGAUAGCCCGGCGAAAGCCGGAUUAAUACCGCAUACGACCUGAGGGUGAAAGGGGGGGAUCGCAAGACCUCUCGCUAUUGGAGCGGCCGAUGUCAGAUUAGCUAGUUGGUGGGGUAAAGGCCUACCAAGGCAACGAUCUGUAGUUGGUCUGAGAGGACGACCAGCCACACUGGGACUGAGACACGGCCCAGACUCCUACGGGAGGCAGCAGUGGGGAAUUUUGGACAAUGGGCGCAAGCCUGAUCCAGCAAUGCCGCGUGCAGGAAGAAGGCCUUCGGGUUGUAAACUGCUUUUGUCAGGGAAGAAAUCUUCUGGGUUAAUACCUCGGGAGGAUGACGGUACCUGAAGAGUAAGCACCGGCUAACUACGUGCCAGCCGCCGCCGUAA